This 345-nucleotide long non-coding RNA is filed under the name Vigna radiata. RNAcentral's name for it is "long non-coding RNA (VRAD_LNC018093)". Lineage: Eukaryota; Viridiplantae; Streptophyta; Magnoliopsida; Fabales; Fabaceae. The record is from RNAcentral.
GUUAAUAGUUUAGUUCAAUUUAUAUUGUAGUUUAGUACAAUUUACAAUUCAGUUAGUGGUUCAGUUCAAUUUAUAUUGUAGUUUAGUUCAAUUUAGUAUAGUACAGUUCAGUUUGAUAAAACAAAAAAAUAGUUCAGUUCAGUUUGUCUGAACUAUUUUACAGUUCAGUUCAGUUUAUACAAAUUAGUUUUUAGUUCAGUACAGUUUUUAGCAGUAUAGUGUAGUACAGUUACAUUUUCCCACUCCUAAUUGUCACAAGUUAACUUUAGAACAAUCAUUUAAGCACAAGAAUAUCAUCAAGAUUUUGAAUUUUAAAGCAUAAAUAUGCACUCAUGACACCCCCAC